Molecule: ribosomal RNA, 253 nt
Filed under: uncultured bacterium
Lineage: Bacteria
Description: partial 16S ribosomal RNA
Rfam family: Bacterial small subunit ribosomal RNA
Source: RNAcentral
UACGUAGGGUGCAAGCGUUGUCCGGAAUUAUUGGGCGUAAAGAGCUCGUAGGCGGUUUGUCGCGUCUGCUGUGAAAACGCGGGGCUCAACUCCGCGCCUGCAGUGGGUACGGGCAGGCUAGAGUUCGGUAGGGGAGACUGGAAUUCCUGGUGUAGCGGUGAAAUGCGCAGAUAUCAGGAGGAACACCGGUGGCGAAGGCGGGUCUCUGGGCCGAUACUGACGCUGAGGAGCGAAAGCGUGGGGAGCGAACAGG